Molecule: non-coding RNA, 716 nt
Organism: Danio rerio (zebrafish)
Lineage: Eukaryota; Metazoa; Chordata; Actinopteri; Cypriniformes; Danionidae
Source: RefSeq, a predicted model, not a curated record
UGCUUCAUAAAACUUGUGCUUGGUAUGUAUCAUUGUUUUAAAAUCCAAACAAACUGUAUUGUGGUCAGUAAAAUGAAAUAAAUAUUAUAAAAGACUUCGAGAUUGUAUUUAUCAUUACAGAAAAGUGUCAUGGGACCCAUAUUAAGUUUUUCUAAAUUUGAUUUGCUGCACACAAGUAGCUUUGAAGAAGAAGGAUCCCAGCUUAAAGAAAAACGUGUCACAUCCAUAAUUGUUUGACAUCAUCUUCAAGCACACCUGGAUUCCUUGUUGCAAUGUCUUCAAAACAAAUGUAAAAAUGAAAGGAUUUCAGUGGUGAGCUCAUAUGAUGGGAUCAAAAGGAAGUGAACUGGACUCUGAGGGACUUAACACAAGGCAAAUUCAUUUCAAUACAUUUUAUGUCAAGAUUAAUUCUGUGAUUUAAAUUCAUAUUUACACACUCUACAAAUGCUGUCUUCCUACCUCAGAUUGUGAUGGACCUAGAAUGCGACAUCGUUUAUGAAUAAGUCAAGAACCAAAUGAAACACACUAUUUUCCAGAGUACAGAUUAUGGAGGGGUCUGCAAAACUAAUGGAGCAGUUUCUUCUUCUUGGAGUGCCACAGCUUGAUGCUGCAUAUAAGGACUUAGUGAAGGACACAGAAACAUCUUUAAAAGAAAUGGCCCAAUAGAAGGGAAGGAAAGAAGGAAGUACUCAGCAUUGAAAUAUUUUUUUACAGAA